Molecule: long non-coding RNA, 504 nt
Filed under: Mytilus galloprovincialis (Mediterranean mussel)
Lineage: Eukaryota; Metazoa; Mollusca; Bivalvia; Mytilida; Mytilidae
Source: RNAcentral
GGUGGUAUGGGUGUCUUCCUCCAUCUUGGAUUGUUAAAAACAGAGAAUCAAGGGUCCAGAUUUUCCAUCAAGUUAGCAAAAUUUGAUGCAGGAAUGCAGAUGUUUAAUGUACAUUUUCAUUUAAAAGUACCAAUUUAUAAGAAUAUAACUUCUAAAUAUUGAUAUUUUUGCAAAUGUUAAUUAUCUUUGGUUGUUUUUAUUUUAUUUUUUUAAAUUGGCAUUUGAAGGGGAGGUAACUCUAAAAAAGUACAUUUUCUGAAGGAUUCUGUAUGGAAUUUUCCUAUUUUGUAUUUUAGCCGAAAAAAACGUUAGGUGACCCUAUCUUUUCUUUUGAUAUUCUCAAAGCAGUGUCUGAAAGCUAUCUUUUCCUGAAGUAUUUAACAAUUCUAUCAUUUUGUUUAGUUUCUAAUCACAAAAUGGUGUUUUUUCCUGUAUAAUCCAUACAAAAUGUGUCAUUUUGUCCCGUCCUGUAGCUUGAGAAAAUGCGCGGUGACCUAUCAUUUU